GCGGUGGUGGAGGAAUUGGCUAACUCACCAGACCCUCACUCUGGAGAUUGCGGGUUCGAGGCCCGUCCACCGUACCA
Molecule: transfer RNA, 77 nt
Filed under: Anaerolineae bacterium
Lineage: Bacteria; Bacillati; Chloroflexota; Anaerolineae
Description: tRNA-Glu
Rfam family: tRNA
About the family: Transfer RNA (tRNA) molecules are approximately 80 nucleotides in length. Their secondary structure includes four short double-helical elements and three loops (D, anti-codon, and T loops).
Source: RNAcentral